Molecule: non-coding RNA, 31 nt
Filed under: Homo sapiens (human)
Lineage: Eukaryota; Metazoa; Chordata; Mammalia; Primates; Hominidae
Source: RNAcentral
UACUUCCUCCCUUAGAGCAAGCCCUGACUCC